GUUGAACGCUGGCGGCGGGCCUAACACAUGCAAGUCGAGCGAGCGGAGGACGGGUGAGUACUGUCUGGGAAACUGCUUGUUGGAGAGGGAUAACUAAUGGAAACGGUAGCUAAUACCGCAUACAAUCAGAUGUGCCUAGGUGGGAUUAGCUGGUAGGUGGGGUAAUGGCUCACCAAGGCGACGAUCCCUCGCUGGGCUGAGAGGAUGAUCAGCCACACUGGAACUGAGACACGGCCCAGACUCCUACGUGAGGCAGCAGUGGGGAAUAUUGGACAAUGGGCGCAAGUCGGAUGCAGCCAUGCCGCGUGUGUGAAGAAGGCUUUCGGGUUGUAAAGCACUGUCGGCGGGGAGGCGGUACCCACAGAAGAAGCAACGGCUAACUCCGUGCCAGCAGCCGCGGUAAUUC
RNAcentral lists this ribosomal RNA (406 nucleotides) under uncultured bacterium. Its description in RNAcentral is "partial 16S ribosomal RNA". It matches the Rfam family "Bacterial small subunit ribosomal RNA", at positions 28 to 526 of the family's 1533-position model. The record is from RNAcentral.